This 1491-nucleotide long non-coding RNA is filed under the name Homo sapiens (human). RNAcentral's name for it is "HSALNT0291983". Lineage: Eukaryota; Metazoa; Chordata; Mammalia; Primates; Hominidae. The record is from RNAcentral.
UCUGGUUCUAGGUCUUUGAGGAAUCACCACACUGUCUUCCACAAUGGUUGUACUAAUUUACAUUUGCUGGUGCUGUUUUCUACAUUGAAUCUGAGGGCUACUGUAUGAUGUGUAAGACACUUUCUGAUUGGAGCCUCACAAUGAUCCUACCAGGUGAUUACAACUGAGCCCAAGUUUUAGAGGAAAAAAAUGCAGACUCAGAGAGAGAAAAGUGAUUUGCCCAAGGUCACAUAGCCAGCUAGUGGCAUUGAACCCUGGCCUUUUGACUUUAAAUCUAUUGCAAAUUCUACCCCAGCAUAGGGUUCUCUUUGGGGUGUGUGUGUGUGUGUGUGUGUGUGUGUGUGUGUGUGUGUGUGUGAAAUGGGGAGAUAAAGAAGCCAACAGUGUUUGCCUUUGCAGAGCAUGCAGUCCAUUUGGAAACAUGCAUGUGGGAAAGUGGGGAGGGACCCUGUCAAGCAUCUAAGAGGAGUGGUGGCAUUUGCUGUGUCCACCUCCAUCCUUCCCACUCACUACUCAGCACCUAUAGCCUUGUCGCUCUCCCCAACACUCUGCUGAGACUGUUGUCACCAAAAACACUAUUGUCCGGCUCCCUGUUGAAAGGACCGACUCUCAGGAGAUGAAGAUCCAAUCACUCUAUCAAAGAAUAUGAGCAUUUCCGAGGCUCUUGUAAGACAUCCAGCCUCCAGAACUGUGAGUACUAUGCUGAAGAGAGCCCUCAUCAGCACCUGACCAACCUGACCAUGCUGCACCCUCAUCUUAGACGUUCAGCCUCCAGAACUGUGAAUACUAUGCUGAAGAGAGCCCUCACCAGCACCUGACCAUGCUGCACCCUCAUCUCAGAUGUCCAGCCUCCAGAACUGUGAGUACUACAUUUCUGUUGCUUAUAAGUGAUCCAUUCUGUGGUAUUUUGUGAGAGCAGCCUGAAUGACUACCUUGUGACUGAAGGUAUACUUCAUAAUAGUGUUCGGGGUCACUGGGAAAUGUGUUCAGAAGAUUUCAGAUGUGCAUCAGCAAUGGUCUUCUUCCAUUUGUCCUGGAAAGAGAUGAAAAUCACAUCACAAAAAUGCUCAUCAGUGUCUACUGGCCCUUUUCCUUACAUAUGCCUGAAACUCCAACCUCUAUGGGUGCCUUUUAGUGCUUGUUUGGGCUGUGACAUAGAGAGAAAUUGAACAAAAUAAAUGUACAGUAUAAUUACAACUACUGUAAAGCAAAGCAAUUUGCAAACAUCAAAAGGAAAUCCUGUGUCCAAACUGCCUACGUCCUAUGGACCACACUGUGGGGCUCUGACAGUAUUCUGUGUGACUGCCAGAAGAUAACUUGACCCUCUUUAGCUAAAGGUAACACCAACCAGAGUCUCUAUGAUCUCUCACACACAAUGCUCAGCAUUUAAUAAGAAAUCAGUAGGCAUGAUGACCCAUUCACCAAAAGCCAAAGAAAAACCAAAGCAGACAACAGAAAUAAUCCCAUAGGAGAAACAGAUAUUGAGUAUUC